RNAcentral lists this ribosomal RNA (913 nucleotides) under uncultured archaeon. Its description in RNAcentral is "bacterial SSU rRNA". It matches the Rfam family "Archaeal small subunit ribosomal RNA", at positions 1 to 922 of the family's 1478-position model. The record is from RNAcentral.
UUCCGGUUGAUCCUGCCGGAGGUCACUGCUAUCGGGGUUCGAUUAAGCCAUGCGAGUCGAGAGGGUUCAGACCCUCGGCGGACUGCUCAGUAACACGUGGAUAAUCUGCCCUAUAGUGGAGGAUAACCCCGGGAAACUGGGGAUAAUACUCCAUAAGUCAGGAGUACUGGAAUGUCUCCUAACUGAAAGUUUCGGCGCCAUAGGAUGAAUCUGCGGCCGAUUAGGUAGUUGUUGGGGUAACGGCCCAACAAGCCCGUAAUCGGUACGGGUUGUGGGAGCAAGAGCCCGGAGAUGGAAUCUGAGACACGAUUCCAGGCCCUACGGGGCGCAGCAGGCGCGAAAACUUUACAAUGCAGGAAACUGUGAUAAGGGAACCCCGAGUGCCCGUACACGCGGGCUGUCCCGGUGUUUAAAACACAUCGGAAGAAAGGGCCGGGCAAGACCGGUGCCAGCCGCCGCGGUAAUACCGGCGGCUCGAGUGGUGACCACUUUUAUUGGGCUUAAAGCGUUCGUAGCUUGAUUUUUAAGUCUCUUGGGAAAUCUCACGGCUUAACUGUGAGGCGUCUAAGAGAUACUGGGAAUCUAGGGGCCGGGAGAGGUAAGAGGUACUUCAGGGGUAGAAGUGAAAUUCUGUAAUCCUUGAGGGACCACCGAUGGCGAAGGCAUCUUACCAGAACGGCUUCGACAGUGAGGAACGAAAGCUGGGGGAGCGAACGGGAUUAGAUACCCCGGUAGUCCCAGCCGUAAACUAUGCGCGUUAGGUGUGCCUGUAACUACGAGUUACCGGGGUGCCGAAGUGAAAACGUGAAACGUGCCGCCUGGGAAGUACGGUCGCAAGGCUGAAACUUAAAGGAAUUGGCGGGGGAGCACCACAACGGGUGGAGCCUGCGGUUUAAUUGGAUUCAACGCCGGG